AGGACGAACGCUGGCGGCGUGCUUAACACAUGCAAGUCGAGCGGAAAGGCCCUUCGGGGUACUCGAGCGGCGAACGGGUGAGUAACACGUGAGUAACCUGCCCCUAGCUCUGGGAUAGCUCCGGGAAACCGGGAUUAAAUACCAGAUACGACCACUUUAGACAUCUGUCGUGGUGGAAAGGAUUCCGGCUAGGGAUGGGCUCGCGGCCUAUCAGCUUGUUGGUGGGUAACGGCCUACCAAGGCGACGACGGGUA
RNAcentral lists this ribosomal RNA (254 nucleotides) under uncultured bacterium. RNAcentral's name for it is "partial small subunit ribosomal RNA". It matches the Rfam family "Bacterial small subunit ribosomal RNA", at positions 26 to 285 of the family's 1533-position model. The record is from RNAcentral.